GUUCCCGCCUGCCGUGGCGGGCGUUGGGCAGCAGCAUCUGCCGAAGGGAAAUGCUCGUUCCUUGAGGGUCUGCCGUGUCUGGGGGGCCGCGACUGCUGCACUCUGCCUCCUCGGGCGCUUCUCUGUCCUGAGUGAUGUAUUCAGAAGGAUCUAAUUGGCAGCCUGCUGAUGAGUUUACCUGGCCUCCCCAUGUCUCCAUGGCAUCAAGAUAUUAUCUAUGAAAAAACAGAUGUGAAAUGGGCUUCCUGACCUUCAUAAUUAAAUGGCUUCUCCUUAUAUGGCGGUACUUUCAACCACUUCACCCCUGAUCAAAUCCAGUGGUGAGAUACAAUUUCAUUUUGUCUGUAUAACAGCUCUUCUGGCAUCUGUGAGGAUUGCUUUGUAUUCUGUCACAAGAUUUUUUGCUUUUUCACCCUAUCUCCAGCAUCUUUACUGUAUUUGGGGAAAUAUCAUUGGCUUCAUCCUGCUCAACCACAUUUGCAGUGAAGAUUUCAGCAAGAAACUUCCACAUUGUAGGCAAGCAACCUGUAUGACUUAAGCUUAUAGUACCAAAUUCUUCCUUUGCCAUUUUUUUUUCAGUAAGUACAGUCCUUCCCUUGGCCAUGCAUCUUGGUACAUGCUUUCCUGAUGCUUUUGUUGUAGUAGCCUGAAUUAAGGGUGGCAGUUGCUAACCUCUUUUACCCAAUAGCUGUGGAUUCCAACUCCUGCUACUGUCGUUUUUUCAAUAACUUUUUGUAUGUGAUCUCAUCUUGACUUUGGUUACUCAGACCACUGAAUUUGCACUUCACUGUCUGCUUUGUCAGGAAACUGUUUGUGUGCCAUUCUUUUCUGUAAAUAACUUUUCCAGUGUUCUUUUUAGCCAUUGUCCAUAAUUUAGUUGUUUAUGAUUGUAAUGUCAUGUAUGUCUAAAUUAUUGUUAACUGUCUAAUAGCAUCCUAUCAGUCAUUUCCAAACAACAUAUGUGGCUUGUAAGAGUAGUAUUCUUCAGUAUAUUUCAUUCUAACUGUACUGACACAAUCUGUUUCAAGUUUUUAGCUUUUUAAGGGGGAAACUUUACACAGAGAAAAGGAAAAUUUUCUGCCACUUCAUUGUUAUUGAUUUAUUUUCUAUUUCCCCUUCUUUACCACAUCCAUCUAUCUUACCUUUUGUCUCAAAUGGAAGUUAGAUCUUCCAAAAUUUCUUUUAUUUUCUUUCCUUCCAUACUGUUAAGAUUUCACCUGGGUGCAACUUAUCACAUCAUUAACUGCUGUCCCUUCAAGGCAGUUCUUCACAUUUUCCGGCAACUUGCCCAAGGUGCUUCUUAGCCAACAAAACCCAUUGCAUAGACUACACACCCUCAGUUGUUUUAUCUGCCUACAUUAAGGUUGGCUGUUUUGGUUUUUUUUCAUAUUUGCUCCAUUUCUUGCUUUCAUUAUUUCUUUCUUGUUCACUAGAGGCUUCGUAUGUCAUUUGAGACUAGGUCUUUUUGGGAGACAACACUGUCCUUUGGUCUUGCUUGCACUGUAAUACGAGUUACAGUGGUGUCAGUGCUACCUGUCUACUCUUUUUGUGUUCUUCACAAGUUUUCUAAUUCUAUAGGAAAAAGAAUUUGAGUCUGUAAUAAAAACCUUAUUUGAUUAAACAGAUUAGCAAACACAGAGGUUUCUCUCGGCAGCUUUGUCAGUUUGUCUUUGGUCAAGUUACACAGUUUCUUCUGUGGCCAGAGAUGAUUUCUAAAUGAGCAGUUGUCUUUUGUCAUUCUGAUUAUCAGUAUAGCUCCUUUGGCUUCUCUUCAAUUUGGCCACGUAUUGUAUUGGUGUUUCUGCAGUGCCGCACUGGUGAUCUGGAAUGACCUCAAUAGCUCUGAGCUGCUAUGAGCUUGAGCACGUGCAUCAAUCUUCUUUGCAGAGAGACUCUGGGGAAUAUAUACACAGAAGAUUUGCAGUUGCAGAAAUAAGGUAUUUACGAUAAGAAAUAAGAAAAAGUAGAGUUUUUUGAAAAAAAAAUAAAUCUUUGUUUCUGGAGCAGUUAAAGCACUGAAAACUUUUUGGGGGCAGGAGGAAAGCUUCUUUUAUUACAGUUAUGUGUGUAAGAAAUAUUUGUAAUACUUUCUUAUCAUUUCAGGAAAAUGAAAAAUUAAGCACAUGUUACAACUGAUACCAAAAUCCAGUGAGGUGUAUGUGUGUGGUAAUUCUGACAAAGUAUUUUCCUCUUAACAAUUUGCAAUUAAAAAUGGAGCAGUCCAGCUUUUUAAUAUUAAAUUGACUGCACAUAUUUGUAUUAUGCCUUUUGUUUUCUCAUUCUUUUCAGUACAAAUUAAUUUUGAACUUACAGAGAGUCUGCUUGCUUGUAUAUUUUUCCACAUACAGUAUUAAAUUCCUCAUGUUUGAUUUACUGAGCCUUUGAAGCUGGUAUUUUAAACUCAGUUAUCCAAGUAAAAUUUGAAGUAUAAUUGCAACUCAAGAAAGAUAUUGGCUGACAGGAAUGUAAUAGUUAAGAUCAGACUAAAUCAACACCAAAGCACAAAUUUAAAUUCUAUUUCAGCCAAUAAAUAAUUUAGUAGAACAUUAGAGCUUGCUUUAUUAAUGGGAGUCCCAAGGACAAGUGGAGACAGACAUAAAUGCAAUUUGUUUAGGUUCCUGGUUGUCUUCCCCUAGCAGAUAGGCUUUUCUUUAGGUCUGAGAGAAUAAGUUAAGAUCAGGAACAUCAGCUGACAUUCCUAGGAUAUCUUGAUCCCUGUAUGAAGCUUGAAGUAAUACAAAUGCAUUGGUCAUUCUUUCUUGGUCUUGGGGUGCAAUUCAGAAGUCAUUUGUCAAAAUUAGGAUCAAAAUAGUAGACAGAUGCUUUGAGUUGUGUAUCAUAAACUGUUAUUGUGAGGACUGUUUUAUUUUGUUAUCUAUAAUGAUGUAAGACAAAGAGACAUGCAAAAUUACAAUGCAUGAGGUUCCUUCUGCUCUUUCUUUAAAAGAUUAUUUUGAAGAACAUGGCUUUUAAAUAUGCUGAAGAAAAAACACAAUUUUAUUGCUGCCAAAGACAGGGUACGGUAGCAGGCCUAGAUGACUUUUGGAACAACUGAUAAGAUCUCCAGAAAGAAGAACAUUUAUUCCAGUAAUAGAUCUGUGUCCUGGGGGAAAUACAGGUAAUGAAAGAGUCAGAAGAUUCCAAGCAUGUUUUAAGACAGAAAAAGUAAAAGUAGAUGUUCAUGUUGCCCCAAGAAAAAUUGCAAAAACCCCUUGAUCGAUCUGAAUUUUAAAUGAGACACCUUCCUUCAAGAAAGGCAUGAGGAGGAUGAAGCAAAGUAAAGGCUCUUCGGCCUUACUGCCAUCCCUGGGAAACACGUGGAACAAAUUCUCCUGGAGGCCAUUGCCAGUACACAAAGAACAAGAAGGCGAUCUGGAAUAGCCAACAGGGUUUUACCAAGAACACGGCACACCAGACGAGUCUAAUUGCGUUCUGAUGAGAAGUUUGCUGCAAUGGACAAAACAAGAGUAGUAGGAGUUGUGCACCUUGCCAUUAGCAAGGGCUUUAAAACAACAGAGGUGGAGGCAGCAAUGUAGGUGCUGUGUCAUGCUCCCCUUGGCAUGCCUUUUGCAGCCCCAUGUCCCUGGAGCUGGAGGCUUUGUGAGUCUUGGAACCCUAACCAUAAUCUUAAAACUAACAGUGAAAUUAAUGGUAGCUUAGUCCUUGCACUGACAUCCCCAGCAUCAUGGAUGGCCCAUGAGUAAGGUGUGGAGGAAGCAAUGUGUGCGCUAUUCUGCACUAUUGAUAAUAUAGGUGACUGAAAAAGAAGGGAAGAGCUAUUGUCAUUGAGAGUGACCAGGUCCACAGUGCAAAGCAAUGUACAAAACCCUGCUUAAGCAAACCUGACUUGAGGAGUUUGCUGUCUACAAGAUAAAAAGGAGAAAAAGUCACAUGUGGAGAACAGAGAUACAAUACAAAUUUCCUGAAUUCAGCCAUGAUGGGUAUUGUUCAUGUGGAAACUUAAUCAGUGACUUUAUGCAUAGCUAUAUGCAGCAGUUCAAAAUAUUCUGGUGGAGUAUCCCUUGGACCAUGCUGCUCUAAAUCCUGAGAUUUCCACCUUUAUUUGACCCUGCAUAAUUCCUUGUCUUUCUCAGACCAAUUUCUGGAACAGAUGUCCUGCCCUGGAUUCUUUGCCAGACCCCUGUGUGCUCCCUCCCAAAUGACUACCAAAGAGGAACUUGGGGAUAAUCCGUCUUUCUUUGGGUCAUUCAGGGUGUCACAAGUGCUGUAAUUCAGCUCAGAAAGUGCCUUUAUAAACUGCUUUGAUUUCCUACUUUUGCUGGUUCCUCAAACUUAAAGUAAAUAGACUUGAUUAAUUUCAAAUCUGCAAACCUUGACUGCACUGCUAGGAUUUUUUUUUCCAGUGUCUCUAUAAGGACUGCAGAUCCUCAGAUGCCCUCUGGAAAUCUCUGUACCCUUGACUCUGGGAAACAGAGCCUUACAGGGAGGGGACCCUCACUCAUAUCUUUCAAGUUCAAGGUUCUGCUCCCAGCUCACUGAGUGGCUUCAUUUGGUGAUUUUAUCUUACUUUACCUCAGUUGUCCCAACAGUAGCUGUCUUUACCUUAGAAGAAUUUUAAGGAUAGAUAAAUAAAUAUGAAUGUAGUCUGACAGUGACUGCAGUAAUCUGCUUAACAUAUUUCUCUUUCCCCCGUUUUUUUGCUUGGAUGUAAAUCUGCAAGGUGAAACCUCACUUAAAAUGGCACAGUGUGCUCCUGUUUCAUCAACACCUGCUUCUUAAGCAGAUAAGAAGAUGGCACGGUUCAAUCUUUUCUCCUUCUCCCAGAUGAUUGUUGCUCAAAAGACCCGUUCAGCAAAUAGUCUGUGUUCUCCCUCAAGGACCCCAGACGUAGCUGUUGAUAGUCCUCUUACAAUGAGCAAUUUAUCCCCUGUGCCACAUUUCCAGGCUCAGCCUUAGCCCCACCAGCCCCAAGUAUCUAGUUUUGAAAAGCAAUGUUUUGUGACUACAUUAAAGCUGCUGUUAGUUGCGAAUUUUAUUUCAUGCUUCUGGGAUUUGAAGGCUGGACUUUUCUCCAGUAGACAUUUCCAAAGUGUGAUUCUUUCUAUUUUUCACAAAACAAGUAUGUUGUAAAUUUGCUUGGAAAUUCAUUUUGAUGACUGUUUUCUUUGCUUCUAUUUCCUGCAGCAGUUGUGUGGUUGCAUGAACAUAAUUUUUAUUACUGAGUUCCUGAGAGCAGCGAAGUGUUUAAGCAUUUUCAGACUAACAAUCUUUUCUGUUGCUACAGAACAUUUGUAACAGGAAAAAUAACAGUGAACUCACAAAGUACUACGAUUUGUGUUGUCAAUGAAUUGUUACCUAACAAUUUGUGAAUUAACUCCUUGAGGUUUAUUAGUUCAAUCACAAAUGCACUCGCACAACUAUUUAUGGAUGAGCAGGAACAGAAAAAAUGGGCAGUUGCUUAACUAAAUUCAUACACAGGUCACUUUUUCAGUUUGAAAUGUAAUGCAAGAGCAGCUGUAGCUGUGCAGACCAAAGGUCCGUUUGGCUGAACAGCCCAUUUUGGAGAUGUGCUGUAACACAAGCUGGUAGAAGAAGGAGCACAAGCAGCUCCGGAGAGCCCCCGCCAACACCCAGCAGUCUGGGAUCCCGACAUUCUCUGGCUAGAAGUGUCUACCAUCCCUUCAUGAAUUUGCCCAUUUUUUGGGGAGUCCUGAUCUAUUAUAUCGUUAUAUGCAGCUAUAUAGACCUGAUAUAUCUAUUUAGAUAUUUUCCUGUAUGGAAACACGCAUAUGCCUUUGUGUGAUUUUCUCUACAAAUUAAAAAACAUGAUAAAACCUUAUGAUUACAGCAAGGUUUUAAGAGAACUUCUUAUUCACAGCUGUACUACUUUGAUAUACAUUGCAAUUGUAAAUAAGAGUGUGUAUGCCGUUAGAUCAGUUGGAAGAAUACAUUUAUUUUUGUUUUAAGAUAGAGAAAACAGAAAGAUAACAAAAUCCUUUUUGGUUAUUAUAAUACUCUUUGUGAAAGGAACUACUACCAAUAGAUGGCACUGCGGUUCUGUAACUCAGGUGUUAUUUAUGUCUGUGUGAUUGUGCAAUGCUACUUAUUUAUGCUGCUUAUUAAUUUUAGUCUUAUAUUGUGACUUCUUAGUGAAAUUCAUUUAAUUGGCUUAUUACUAUUGCAAAUACAUUGUUCCUGAGGCUGAAAUGUUUUAAGCUAUAUGUCCUUAUCUAGAGAGUAUCCCUUUUCCGUAGGAGAAUGGCCAUCCUUAGAAAAAGAGAAUGAUUGCAGUGUCUCCUAUUGGACCAGUUUACUGAGACAGUUAAGU
Molecule: long non-coding RNA, 6289 nt
Organism: Columba livia (rock pigeon)
Lineage: Eukaryota; Metazoa; Chordata; Aves; Columbiformes; Columbidae
Exons: 4
Source: RefSeq, a predicted model, not a curated record